Molecule: ribosomal RNA, 253 nt
Filed under: uncultured bacterium
Lineage: Bacteria
Description: partial 16S ribosomal RNA
Rfam family: Bacterial small subunit ribosomal RNA
Source: RNAcentral
UACGUAGGGUGCAAGCGUUGUCCGGAAUUAUUGGGCGUAAAGAGCUCGUAGGCGGUCUGUCGCGUCGGAUGUGAAAAUCCAGGGCUCAACCCUGGACCUGCAUUCGAUACGGGCAGACUAGAGUUCGGCAGGGGAGACUGGAAUUCCUGGUGUAGCGGUGAAAUGCGCAGAUAUCAGGAGGAACACCGGUGGCGAAGGCAGGUCUCUGGGCAUUAACUGACGCUGAGGAGCGAAAGCAUGGGGAGCGAACAGG